This 274-nucleotide ribosomal RNA is filed under the name uncultured bacterium. RNAcentral's name for it is "partial 16S ribosomal RNA". It matches the Rfam family "Bacterial small subunit ribosomal RNA", at positions 523 to 796 of the family's 1533-position model. The record is from RNAcentral.
AUACGGAGGGUGCAAGCGUUGUUCGGAAUCACUGGGCGUAAAGGGCGCGCAGGCGGUCCUGCAAGUCAGAUGUGAAAGCCCACGGCUCAACCGUGGAAGUGCAUUUGAAACUGCAGGACUUGAGUAUCAGAGGGGAAAGUGGAAUUCCCGGUGUAGAGGUGAAAUUCGUAGAUAUCGGGAGGAAUACCGGUGGCGAAGGCGACUUUCUGGCUGAAUACUGACGCUGAGGCGCGAAAGCGUGGGGAGCAAACAGGAUUAGAAACCCUAGUAGUCC